This 359-nucleotide ribosomal RNA is filed under the name uncultured bacterium. RNAcentral's name for it is "bacterial SSU rRNA". It matches the Rfam family "Bacterial small subunit ribosomal RNA", at positions 8 to 353 of the family's 1533-position model. The record is from RNAcentral.
AGAGUUUGAUCAUGGCUCAGGAUGAACGCUAGCUACAGGCUUAACACAUGCAAGUCGAGGGGAAACGACAUCGAAAGCUUGCUUUGAUGGUCGUCGACCGGCGCACGGGUGAGUAACGCGUAUCCAACCUGCCCAUCACUUGGGGAUAACCUUGCGAAAGUAAGACUAAUACCCAAUGAUAUCUCUAGAAGACAUCUGAAAGAGAUUAAAGAUUUAUCGGUGAUGGAUGGGGAUGCGUCUGAUUAGCUUGUUGGCGGGGUAACGGGCCCACCAAGGCAACGAUCAGUAGGGGUUCGUGAGAGGGAAGGUCCCCCACCAUUGGAACUGAGACACGGUCCAAACUCCUACGGGAGGCAGCA